CCUACGGGUGGCAGCAGUGGGGGAUAUUGCACAAUGGGGGAACCCCUGAUGCAGCGACGCCGCGUGGGUGAAGACGCGCCUCGGCGCGUAAAGCCCUGUCAGCAGGGAAGAAAAUGACGGUACCUGAAGAAGAAGCCCCGGCUAACUACGUGCCAGCAGCCGCGGUAAUAAGUAGGGGGCAAGCGUUAUCCGGAUUUACUGGGGGUAAAGGGGGCGCAGACGGCGAUGCAAGACAUGAGUGAACGCCCGGGGCCCAACCCCGGGACUGCUCGUGGAACUGCGUGGCUAGAGUGCAGGAGGGGCAUGCGGAAUUCCUGGUGUAGCGGUGAAAUGCGUAGAUAUCAGGAGGAACACCGGUGGCGAAGGCGGCCUUCUGGACUGCAACUGACGUUGAGGCCCGAAAGCGUGGGGAGCAAACAGGAUUAGAUACCCGUGUAGUC
This 440-nucleotide ribosomal RNA is filed under the name uncultured bacterium. RNAcentral describes it as "partial 16S ribosomal RNA". It matches the Rfam family "Bacterial small subunit ribosomal RNA", at positions 338 to 795 of the family's 1533-position model. The record is from RNAcentral.